ACGAAGGGUGCGAGCGUUAAUCGGAAUUACUGGGCGUAAAGCGCGCGUAGGCGGUUUGUUAAGUUGGAGGUGAAAUCCCCGGGCUCAACCUGGGAACUGCCUCCAAAACUGGCUGACUAGAGUACGGUAGAGGGUGGUGGAAUUUCCUGUGUAGCGGUGAAAUGCGUAGAUAUAGGAAGGAACACCAGUGGCGAAGGCGACCACCUGGACUGAUACUGACGCUGAGGUGCGAAAGCGUGGGGAGCAAACAGG
RNAcentral lists this ribosomal RNA (252 nucleotides) under uncultured bacterium. RNAcentral's name for it is "partial 16S ribosomal RNA". It matches the Rfam family "Bacterial small subunit ribosomal RNA", at positions 525 to 776 of the family's 1533-position model. The record is from RNAcentral.